AACAAACGCUGGCGGCGUGUCUUAAGCAUGCAAGUUGAGCGGCAAGGAGGAGAGAUCCUCCCUAGAGCGGCGGACUGGUGAGUAACGCGUGGGUAAUCUAUCGUAGGCAUGGGGAUAGUCACUAGAAAUAGUGGGUAAUACCGAAUACGUUCCAUGAGGGGAGUACUUAUGGAAGAAAGGGUGCUACGGCACUGGCCUUAGGUGAGCUCGCGUCCCAUUAGCUAGUUGGUGAGGUAAAGGCCCACCAAGGCGAUGAUGGGUAGCCGGCCUGAGAGGGUGUACGGCCACACUGGGACUGAGAUACGGCCCAGACUCCUACGGGAGGCAGCAGCUAAGAAUAUUCCGCAAUGGACGAAAGUCUGACGGAGCGACGCCGCGUGGAUGAAGAAGGCCGAAAGGUUGUAAAGUUCUUUUGCUAGGGGAGAAUAAGUGAGGAGGGAAUGCCCUCAUGAUGACAAGGACUAGCGAAUAAGCCCCGGCCAACUACGUGCCAGCAGCCG
This 500-nucleotide ribosomal RNA is filed under the name uncultured bacterium. RNAcentral's name for it is "bacterial SSU rRNA". It matches the Rfam family "Bacterial small subunit ribosomal RNA", at positions 29 to 517 of the family's 1533-position model. The record is from RNAcentral.